GGGUAACGGCCCACCAAACCGACGAUGGAUAGGGGUUCUGAGAGGAAGGUCCCCCACAUUGGUACUGAGACACGGACCAAACUCCUACGGGAGGCAGCAGUGAGGAAUAUUGGUCAAUGGGCGUAAGCCUGAACCAGCCAAGUCGCGUGAGGGAUGAAGGUUCUAUGGAUCGUAAACCUCUUUUAUAAGGGAAUAAAGUGCGGGACGUGUCCCGUUUUGUAUGUACCUUAUGAAUAAGGAUCGGCUAACUCCGUGCCAGCAGCCGCGGUAAUACGGAGGAUCCGAGCGUUAUCCGGAUUUAUUGGGUUUAAAGGGUGCGUAGGCGGCCUUUUAAGUCAGCGGUGAAAGUCUGUGGCUCAACCAUAGAAUUGCCGUUGAAACUGGGGGGCUUGAGUAUGUUUGAGGCAGGCGGAAUGCGUGGUGUAGCGGUGAAAUGCUUAGAUAUCACGCAGAACCCCGAUUGCGAAGGCAGCCUGCCAAGCCAUGACUGACGCUGAUGCACGAAAGCGUGGGGAUCAAACAGGAUUAGAUACCCUGGUAGUCCACGCAGUAAACGAUGAUCACUAGCUGUUUGCGAUACACUGUAAGCGGCACAGCGAAAGCGUUAAGUGAUCCACCUGGGGAGUACGCCGGCAACGGUGAAACUCAAAGGAAUUGACGGGGGCCCGCACAAGCGGAGGAACAUGUGGUUUAAUUCGAUGAUACGCGAGGAACCUUACCCGGGUUUGAACGCAUUYGGACCGAGGUGGAAACACCUUUUCUAGCAAUAGCCGUUUGCGAGGUGCUGCAUGGUUGUCGUCAGCUCGUGCCGUGAGGUGUCGGCUUAAGUGCCAUAACGAGCGCAACCCUUGCCACUAGUUACUAACAGGUAAAGCUGAGGACUCUGGUGGGACUGCCAGCGUAAGCUGCGAGGAAGGCGGGGAUGACGUCAAAUCAGCACGGCCCUUACAUCCGGGGCGACACACGUGUUACAAUGGCGUGGACAAAGGGAUGCCACCUGGCGACAGGGAGCGAAUCCCCAAACCACGUCUCAGUUCGGAUCGGAGUCUGCAAC
RNAcentral lists this ribosomal RNA (1054 nucleotides) under Parabacteroides distasonis. Its description in RNAcentral is "bacterial SSU rRNA". It matches the Rfam family "Bacterial small subunit ribosomal RNA", at positions 255 to 1311 of the family's 1533-position model. Lineage: Bacteria; Pseudomonadati; Bacteroidota; Bacteroidia; Bacteroidales; Tannerellaceae. The record is from RNAcentral.